GACGAACGCUGGCGGCGUGCCUAAUACAUGCAAGUCGAACGCUGAAGGAGGAGCUUGCUUCUCUGGAUGAGUUGCGAACGGGUGAGUAACGCGUAGGUAACCUGCCUGGUAGCGGGGGAUAACUAUUGGAAACGAUAGCUAAUACCGCAUAAUAGUAGAUGUUGCAUGACAUUUGCUUAAAAGGUGCAAUUGCAUCACUACCAGAUGGACCUGCGUUGUAUUAGCUAGUUGGUGAGGUAACGGCUCACCAAGGCAACGAUACAUAGCCGACCUGAGAGGGUGAUCAGCCACACUGGGACUGAGACAAGGCCCAAACUCCUACGGGAGGCAGCAGUAGGGGAUCUUCGGCAAAGGACGGAAAUCUGACCGAGCAACGCCGCCUGAGUGAAGGAGGUUUUCCGAUCGUAAAGCUCCGUUGUAAGAGAAGAACGAGUGUGAGAGUGGAAAGUUCACGCUGUGACGGUAUCUGACCAGAAAGGGACGGCUAACUACGUG
RNAcentral lists this ribosomal RNA (495 nucleotides) under uncultured bacterium. RNAcentral describes it as "partial 16S ribosomal RNA". It matches the Rfam family "Bacterial small subunit ribosomal RNA", at positions 28 to 507 of the family's 1533-position model. The record is from RNAcentral.